UGUCGGCGCGAUAACCGCCGGCAUCUGACGGUACCUGCAGAGGAAGCCCCGGCCAACUCUGUGCCAGCAGCCGCGGUAAGACAGAGGGGGCAAGCGUUGCUCGGAAUUACUGGGCUAAAGGGCGCGUAGGCGGGAUGGCAAGUCGGUCGUGAAAUCCUUCGGCUCAACCGAAGAACGUCGAUCGAUACUGCUGUUCUAGAGGAUUGCAGAGGAGACUGGAAUUCCCGGUGUAGCGGUGAAAUGUGUAGAGAUCGGGAGGAACACCGGUGGCGAAGGCGGGUCUCUGGGCAAUUCCUGACGCUGAGGCGCGAAAGCGUGGGGAGCAAACGGGAUUAGAUACCCCGGUAGUCCACGCUGUAAACGAUGAGCACUAGGUGUGGGGGGGUUCAGUCCCCUCCGUGCCGCAGCUAACGCAUUAAGUGCUCCGCCUGGGGAGUACGGCCGCAAGGUUG
This 452-nucleotide ribosomal RNA is filed under the name uncultured bacterium. Its description in RNAcentral is "bacterial SSU rRNA". It matches the Rfam family "Bacterial small subunit ribosomal RNA", at positions 438 to 896 of the family's 1533-position model. The record is from RNAcentral.